Molecule: long non-coding RNA, 540 nt
Organism: Mauremys mutica (yellowpond turtle)
Lineage: Eukaryota; Metazoa; Chordata; Testudines; Geoemydidae
Exons: 3
Source: RefSeq, a predicted model, not a curated record
GUCCCGAGAAGAGAAGGCCAAGGGUGGGGACAUGGUAACAGUCUUCAAAUAUGUAAGAAACUGUUCUAAAGAGGAUGGUGAUCAACCAUGCUCCAUGUCCACUGAGGACCCCAGUCUUAGGAAGAAUGCCUGUUCGCCUUGGGUCUGAGAUGGACCAAGGAACAAUCCUCCUGGAAAUCCGGUUCCAAGCCCGGUUUUAUGACAGAGCAGCACCUUCGCUUUUAUCUUUUGUCCUGGAGGGGAUUUAAUUGUUUGCUCGUCACCCGGGGUGAGCUCGUAGACUCUGCAUUUAAUUCUGUGUGGUUGGUGGGUCCUGACUUUCAUCUCCCUUGUGCCAAAGCUGAUAUAACGGUGAUGACUGCAGUGAAGCCAGGCCUGUAUUUGUUGUGAAGCCCCAAAGAGGCCCUUUGGCAGUAAACCAACAACUCUAAGCGGCACCGUUUGAAACUUAAACUUUAUUGCGACAACGAACUAAAACUGGUACAUGUGCGAGGACUGCAGAGCGCCUGUCGGAAAGGACUGGUCAGAAAUCACAACUCA